This 90-nucleotide small RNA is filed under the name Klebsiella michiganensis. Its description in RNAcentral is "partial RtT sRNA". It matches the Rfam family "RtT RNA", at positions 42 to 130 of the family's 130-position model. From Rfam's summary of the family: This family represents a bacterial cis-regulatory element known as RtT RNA. The exact function of RtT is unknown although it is thought that it may be involved in changing the cellular response in relation to amino acid starvation. Lineage: Bacteria; Pseudomonadati; Pseudomonadota; Gammaproteobacteria; Enterobacterales; Enterobacteriaceae. The record is from RNAcentral.
UUCGAUUCGAGCGAAGCGAGAAAGCGUUGCCGCAGGCAACGACCCGAAGGGCGAGGCACAACGCGCCGAGUAAUCCUUCCCCCACCACCA